Molecule: long non-coding RNA, 319 nt
Filed under: Helianthus annuus (common sunflower)
Lineage: Eukaryota; Viridiplantae; Streptophyta; Magnoliopsida; Asterales; Asteraceae
Description: hypothetical non coding rna
Source: RNAcentral
GCUGAUCAUCAGGCUUGUCAAGCAAUAUGAAUACCAAAUCAAAUCGUGAUAACAAAGCAACAUUAAUUUUCAAAUGGCAUUACGCAUGGAGCACCGCUACUACCACCGCCUCCUCUUGCACUACAAAUGGCAUUACGCAUGGAGCUUAAUAAGCUCCCAUAAGUAGACGCGUUUCGAUGCUCUAUAGCUUCAAUAAAACAGAAAGUCAUGGCCCCUGUCGAUGUGAUCUUCAAUAGAGCCUAUGUAUCAGCAGAUGUUUGAUCAUCAUCACAACCAUUUAUGGAAAUAACCUCGCCGCCAUUACUACCUUUCUAUAUAC